This 653-nucleotide ribosomal RNA is filed under the name uncultured bacterium. RNAcentral describes it as "bacterial SSU rRNA". It matches the Rfam family "Bacterial small subunit ribosomal RNA", at positions 60 to 702 of the family's 1533-position model. The record is from RNAcentral.
AGUCGAGCGGCAGCACAAGUAAGUUUACUUAUGAGGUGGCGAGCGGCCGUUGGGUGAGUAAUGCCUAGGGAUUUGCCCAGUCGAGGGGGAUUUCAGUUGGAAACGACUGCUAAUACCGCAUACGCCCUACGGGGGAAAGAGGGGGACUUUCGGGCCUCUCGCGAUUGGAUAAACCUAGGUGGGAUUAGCUAGUUGGUGAGGGGGGGGGUCACCAAGGCGACGAUCCCUAGCUGUUCUGAGAGGAUGAUCAGCCACACUGGGACUGAGACACGGCCCAGACUCCUACGGGAGGCAGCAGUGGGGAAUAUUGCACAAUGGGGGAAACCCUGAUGCAGCCAUGCCGCGUGUGUGAAGAAGGCCUUCGGGUUGUAAAGCACUUUCAGUAGGGAGGAAAGGUUGUAAGUUAAUACCUUGCAGCUGUGACGUUACCUACAGAAGAAGGACCGGCUAACUCCGUGCCAGCAGCCGCGGUAAUACGGAGGGUCCAAGCGUUAAUCGGAAUUACUGGGCGUAAAGCGUGCGCAGGCGGUUUGUUAAGCGAGAUGUGAAAGCCCCGGGCUCAACCUGGGAAUUGCAUUUCGAACUGGCAAACUAGAGUCUUGUAGAGGGGGGUAGAAUUCCAGGUGUAGCGGUGAAAUGCGUAGAGAUCUGGA